This 253-nucleotide ribosomal RNA is filed under the name uncultured bacterium. RNAcentral's name for it is "partial 16S ribosomal RNA". It matches the Rfam family "Bacterial small subunit ribosomal RNA", at positions 524 to 776 of the family's 1533-position model. The record is from RNAcentral.
UACGGAGGGGGCUAGCGUUGCUCGGAAUUACUGGGCGUAAAGCGCACGUAGGCGGCUUUGUAAGUUAGAGGUGAAAGCCCGGAGCUCAACCCCGGAACUGCCUUUAAGACUGCAGCGCUUGAAUCCAGGAGAGGUGAGUGGAAUUCCGAGUGUAGAGGUGAAAUUCGUAGAUAUUCGGAAGAACACCAGUGGCGAAGGCGGCUCACUGGACUGGUAUUGACGCUGAGGUGCGAAAGCGUGGGGAGCAAACAGG